GAAUCUCAGACACCAGGGGCAGACGGUUUUGUCCAGAGAGCAUCUCUUCCUAACAGUCCCUAAGAAGAAAGAAUCUAAAUCUCCUAUCAUUCCUCCUCAACCUCAGAGCAAUCUGGAUUCAAGUCCCCCCGCAGUCAUCAGAUUUUUAUUUAUUUGUGUGUGAAGAAUUUCCCAGAAAGGCACUCUCUGGUUCUUCCCUGCUCAGCCAUGACCUUGGUGUUCAUCUUGACGCUUGGGAUGCUUCUGUUCCUGAGAGGAACCGGAGCCCAGUCCCUGACCCAGCCUGACGUCCACCUCACUGUCUCCGAAGGAGACCGCCUGGAGCUGAGGUGCAACUAUUCCUCUACAGGAAUGACUUAUCUCUUCUGGUACGUGCAGCACCCCAACCAAGGACUCCAGCUCCUCCUCAAGCACUCUGCAGGGUCAUCAGAUGCCAUGGUUCAAGGCAUCAAAGGUUUUGAAGCUAAAUUUAAGAAAUCUGAAAAGUCCUUCCACCUGGAGAAACCCGCAGUCCAAUGGAACGAUGCGGCCAAGUACUUCUGUGCUGUGUGACAGGGUUGGAGGUGAAGCAGAGCCCCCCAGACCUGAGUCUCCGAGAGGGAGCCAGUUCCACACUGCAGUGUAAUUUUUCCACCUCUGUGAACAGGGUGCAGUGGUUUCGCCAAAAUCCUGGGGGCCACUUCACCCACUUGUUUUACAUUCCUUCUGGGACAAAGCAGAACGGAAGAUUAAGCUCUACGACAGUCGCAAAGGAUCGCCACAGCUCGCUGUACAUUUCCUCUUCCCGGACCACAGACUCAGCCAUUUAUUUCUGUGCCGCGGCGGAACCCACAGU
This is a non-coding RNA of Hyaena hyaena (striped hyena), 835 nucleotides long. The record is from the annotation of a RefSeq genome assembly. Lineage: Eukaryota; Metazoa; Chordata; Mammalia; Carnivora; Hyaenidae.